This is a non-coding RNA of Taeniopygia guttata (zebra finch), 4349 nucleotides long. Lineage: Eukaryota; Metazoa; Chordata; Aves; Passeriformes; Estrildidae. The record is from RefSeq and is a predicted model, not a curated record.
CCUUCCACCUUCCCCCCGCACCGUCCCUCAGCCUGUGCACCUCCGCGUGUGGCGGUGUGUGCGUGUCCCCGGCGAGCAGCAAAGACUCUUUUCUCGAUGACUGCUUCAGUGUCUGGCAAUCAAAGUGGAGUCGAUGUUUUAUUCCACCGCCCAGAGUUGACCCGAUGCUUCGGUUGUGGGCUCUUACAGGCAAUAGCUUGCUUGAUGGACAUGAAUGCGUUGUUGGACAGAUUUCACAAUUACAUCCUACCGCAUCUCAGAGGGGAGGACCGAGUUUGUCACUGCAACUGUGGAAGGCACCACGUGCAUUAUGUCAUCCCCUACGACGGGGACCAGUCGGUGGUGGACUCCUCGGAGAAUUACUUUGUGACUGACAACGUCACCAAGCAGGAGAUCGACCUGAUGCUGGGGCUGCUGCUGGGCUUCUGCAUCAGCUGGUUCCUGGUGUGGAUGGACGGGGUGCUGCACUACGCCGUGCGCGCCUGGCGGACCAGCCGGCGCUAUGACAACUCCUGGUCCUGGAUCCCCAAAUUCUGCAACCUGAAGGAGCUGCGGAAGCGCCACCACCGGCAGUACGAGGAGGCCACCGGGAACAUGGUGCACAUCAAACAGAAGCUGUACCACAACGGGCACCCCAGCCCGCGGCACCUCUGAGGGACCCGCUCCGGGACUGCGGCCAGCUUUUAAACACACACAGGACUCCUCUUCCUCCUGGGAACAGCCUCUGGCUCGCUCCCAAGCCAGCUGAGGACACGGAAUUUCGGGAUCCAUCCCGGCUGUCCACGGGUGGACACGCCACGAUGCACAACUCAAGCCAGUCCUGGAUGCUCUGCAGCCAAGACUUUGCACUGUGUUCCACAUUUUAUUGUCAGACUCGUGUAAAUAUGUAAAAAAAACAACAAAAAAAAAAAGAGAGAGAGAGAAAAGAGAUUUGCAUUAUACUUUCAACCCCCCUCCCCCCAUUUUCCUGGCUGCUGGAAUGUUGGAUGGAGGUGGGACAGCAGCGAGAAGAUGCAGAGUGUCUCCUCCAGGAGCUCCAGCCCCCAAAGGUUCUCUGCUCCUUUGCCUGGCCGCUCUCAGGUUUGGAUGGGGGGCAGGCACAGCGGCCCCUGCUCGGGUUUUUCUCUGGUUCCCUCCUGGGGAGGAAGGGCUGGAAUGGCUCUGGGAUUGUUCUUUGCUUUGCUGUCCCCUGAAAGCUGCCUUAAGGAACCUGAGCUCAGAGCCAGGGCAGUGGGGUGCUGCUGCUGCUCUGGUGGCACCUUUGGUGGCACCUUUGGUGGUGGCAGGGCUGCUGUCCUUCACUAGAGGAGGGUGGGAUGUGUCAGAUCUGACUUGUCAGAUUAAAACACCCCAAAACCCCAAAGUGCAGCACAGAGGGAGCCCUGAGCAGAGUGAGCCUGGAUAAAACACCCCAAAACCCCAAAAACUCCAGAGAGCAGCACAGACGAGGUCCUGAGCAGAGUGAGCCUGGAUAAAACACCCUAAAACCCCAAAUGCAGCACAGAGGGAGCCCUGAGCAGAGUGAGCCUGGAUAAAACACCCCAAAACCCCAAAAAACCCAGAGAGCAGCACAGAGAGAGUCCUGAGCAGGGCGAGCCUGGUUAAAACACCCCAAAACCCCAAAGUGCAGCACAGAGGGAGCCCUGAGCAGGGUGAGCCUGGAUAAAACACCCCAAAACCCCAAAACCCCCAAAGUGCAGCACAGAGGGGGCCCUGAGCAGGGUGAGCCUGGAUAAAACACCCCAAAACCCCAAAGUGCAGCACAGAGGGAGCCCUGAGCAGCCUCACUCCUGCUGCACAUCCAGCACCCCUUUUUUGUGGGGCUGGACUUGUGGGACACGGAAAGACCAACCCCAAAUUCCUCUCCAGACAUCCCAAAUGUCCCCAAGGCUGUCACACUGUGAGGAGGCUCCCAAGUGGUUUUGCAUGUGCUGCUCCUGGUGUUUGGGUUUUGAGGGCUGGGUGGGAUCAAGGCUCUGAAAGCAGUGUCCCAAAAACCCCAAAAACCUCCUUUAGGGCCAGCAGAGGGGCCUGGAGGAGCUGUAGGGCCAGGGGGUGGCUGGGGCCUUGUCCUGGUGCUGGCUGGGCAGGGGAGAGAGGAUUUGUUAGCAGGGAUAAAUAAAGGAGGGAAAUGCCAUCCCCAGGAGUCUGAGAGCCCCCAACCCUCAGCACUUCCCCUCCUGUCACAUUUUGUGUGCAAAAAUGGGGAAAACACCCAGAACUGAAGGAUGCUGAGCAUUGCCAGAAAAAUCUCCUUUUUUUUUUUUUAUUUUCCCAUGGAUUCCUUGGCACUCUCAGUGGCCACAACUCCUGCUCUUCCCUCCCUGCUCCAGUUUCUGUGUCUUGGGGUUGUUUUGUUAAUUUUCUACACCCACUUCAGUUAAUUACAAGCCCCAAAACUGCCCAAAUAUUCCCAUUUUUCUGCCAUUCCCACUUUUGUUAUUCCCUAGUGCCUCUUGUCUUGGAGCCCCAGGUUCUUUCUGGGCCUGAAUCAUUGCCUGGUCCAUAUUUGUGUCUGUUUGUCUGUCAUUCCUGGCUGUGAUGUCCAAAAUUCCUUAGGAUCUAAGGAAUGACUUUUCUUUGAGCAGGGAAGAGCAGGGACUGUGUUAUCAACAAGUGGGGACAACAUUUUGUAGGGGUGAAAAUUCCAUUGGGAUAAAAAAAAACCAAAUAUUGAGUCCCUGGAACUGGUUAUAUAAAAAAAAACCAAACAAAAGCGGGGGAAAAAGGGACUUUAAAAUGAAUUUUCCUACUGAUCUAAGUUCAGACUGAAUGUAAAGCCUGGCUCUGCCCUGCUCUAGCAGCUGAGCUUGGCUGAAAUAUUAAAAAUGAAACAGAUGGAAAGGGUGAAGUGAUGGCUCACACCUGUUAAGUUUGAUCUGGCUGAUCCAUGGCAAAAUUCCAUAAAAAUUUGAGGUUCUGGAAGAGGGGGGAAAAAAAUUCUACAUAAUAAAAAUGUUCCUGUUGUAAAAAAAACAGAUUUAAAAAAAUCUGCUGGGUCUGGAGCCUUUUGAACUGCUUUCUUGUUCAAAUUUUGGCAAAAAAAAAAAAAGCCAAACCAAACCAAAAUAAGAAAUAUUCUCAGUGCAAUUAAAUUUACUGGGAACAAUUCACUUUAAUCCAGGGAAACCAGACAAGUUUUGUGGGCCAAUAUUUGAAGGCCAAAAUUCCUUCCUGUGCAGGGAGGAAAUCCCGACCCAGCAGAUCUGGGAUGGCAUCAAACUCCUGAGCAAGGACAUCAAAAAUACCCUAAAAACCCCAAAAAUAGGAGAGUUUUUCCCAAAAGCCACAGGUCUGAGCUGUCUCCUCUUUGGGGAACGAGGUGCCAAGGCCCCCAGAGAAGCAGAAGGUGAAGGAGGCAGCAGGUUUGGGGUGUUACAGCUGAGUUUUGGGGUGUUACAGUUGGGGUUUGGGGUGUUACAGCUGGUUUGGGGGUACUGCAGCUGGUUUUGGGGUGCAGAGAAGAGGAAGAAGAGGAAGAGGAAUGGGAAGCAGAGAGGGAAGCGAAGAGGAAGGAGAGAGGAAGAAGAGGAGAAGGAAGAAGAGAAGGGACCCUGCUGUGUGUCCGUGCCCCUGCAUGGAGCCUGUCCCUCCACCCACUUGCUCUCUUUUCUGCUCCAAAGGGGUUCCCCUAUUCCAUCUCUGCUCCAAAGGGGUUCCCCCAUCCCAUUUCUGCUCCAAAGGGGUUCCCCUAUCCCAUCCCUGCUCCAAAGGGGUUCCCCCAUCCCAUUUCUGCUCCAAAGGGGUUCCCCUAUCCCAUCCCUGCUCCAAAGGGGUUCCCAUUUCUGCUGGGUUCCCACCAGGGUGACCCUGGGGGCUCAGCCCCAGCUCUCCCUGAGGCACAGGGAGCCCUGCACUCACUCCAGGGAGGUUUUUCACUCGUGAAACACCAGGACAGAGCCUGGAGUGCUGAUUUCCCCAAUUGUUCAUCCUUCUUUUCUUUCAUCCUGCCCCCAAACCACUUCUGCAUGCAUCAGGCAGGGAGAGGCACAGCCCAGAGAGAGAGAGAGAUUAAACUCUGCUCCGAGUCUAAUCACAGAAUCAUCUCGACUGUGGUUGUAAAGCAAUAAUGGCGAAUUUUUUUUAUUAAAUACACUUGCAGAGGCAGAUUUCACCCAGGGCUUUGUGCUCUCGAGUGGCUGGAGGGGUGGCAGCUGUGCUGAAGGUGCAGAGAGCUUGGGGCAGGGGAGGCAAUAGAAAAAGCACACUGUGAUUUUAUUUGGGUCAAUAAGUGAGUGUAUUUCAGCCAUUCCUUCCCUUUCAAGAAGAUGUUUGUAUAAUAGAGAACCAGUUCAGCUCCUGGAACUAAGCCCAUCCUUUGCUGUUUGUCAGUAAAAUAGUUUUUUGCA